This 321-nucleotide ribosomal RNA is filed under the name uncultured eukaryote. RNAcentral's name for it is "partial 18S ribosomal RNA". It matches the Rfam family "Eukaryotic small subunit ribosomal RNA", at positions 1470 to 1796 of the family's 1831-position model. The record is from RNAcentral.
CCCUUAGAUGUUCUGGGCUGCACGCGUGUUACAAUCGGGAGUACAACAAGAUUGCAAAUCCUAGUGGAUGAGUGGUUCUUCGAAAUUUUCUGAAGACUGGGAUAGUUGAUUGAAAUUAUUCAACUCGAACGAGGAAUUCCUUGUAAUUGUAAUUCAUUAUAUUGUAAUGAAUACGUCCCUGCCCGUUGUACACACCGCCCGUCGCUCCUACCGAUUGGGUGAUCCGGUGAAUAAUUCGGACUGCGGCAUUGACCGGUUCCCGAUCGUUGCUGCGGAAAGUUUAGUGAACCUUAUCACUUAGAGGAAGGAGAAGUCGUAACA